GAUCCUGGCUCAGAAUCAACGCUGGCGGCGUGCCUAACACAUGCAAGUCGAACGCGGUUACCCCGCAAGGGGUGACUGAGUGGCGAACGGGUGAGUAACACGUGGGUGACCUACCUUCGAGUGGGGGAUAACGUCCCGAAAGGGACGCUAAUACCGCAUAACAUCCCGUCCUUGAACGGAUGGAGAUCAAAGCCGGGGAUCGCAAGACCUGGCGUUUGAAGAGGGGCCCGCGUCUGAUUAGCUAGUUGGUGGGGUAACGGCUCACCAAGGCGACGAUCAGUAUCCGGCCUGAGAGGGCGGACGGACACACUGGGACUGAGACACGGCCCAGACUCCUACGGGAGGCAGCAGUGGGGAAUUGUUCGCAAUGGGCGCAAGCCUGACGACGCAACGCCGCGUGGAGGAUGAAGGUCUUCGGAUUGUAAACUCCUGUUGCCCGGGACGAAAAGCUUCAACCUAAUACGUUGAAGUCUGACGGUACCGGGUGAGGAAGCCCCGGCUAACUCUGUGCCAGCAGCCGCGGUAAUACAGAGGGGGCGAGCGUUGUUCGGAAUUACUGGGCGUAAAGGGCGCGUAGGCGGCCUGCUAAGUCGAACGUGAAAUCCCCGGGCUCAACCCGGGAACUGCGUCCGAGACUGGUUGGCUCGAAUCCGGGAGAGGGAUGUGGAAUUCCAGGUGUAGCGGUGAAAU
RNAcentral lists this ribosomal RNA (690 nucleotides) under uncultured Acidobacteriota bacterium. RNAcentral describes it as "bacterial SSU rRNA". It matches the Rfam family "Bacterial small subunit ribosomal RNA", at positions 15 to 687 of the family's 1533-position model. Lineage: Bacteria; Pseudomonadati; Acidobacteriota. The record is from RNAcentral.